Molecule: ribosomal RNA, 254 nt
Filed under: uncultured bacterium
Lineage: Bacteria
Description: partial 16S ribosomal RNA
Rfam family: Bacterial small subunit ribosomal RNA
Source: RNAcentral
UACGAAGGGGGCUAGCGUUGUUCGGAAUUACUGGGCGUAAAGCGCACGUAGGCGGACAUUUAAGUCAGGGGUGAAAUCCCGGGGCUCAACCCCGGAACUGCCUUUGAUACUGGGUGUCUUGAGUGUGGUAGAGGUGAGUGGAAUUGCGAGUGUAGAGGUGAAAUUCGUAGAUAUUCGCAGGAACACCAGUGGCGAAGGCGGCUCACUGGACCACAACUGACGCUGAGGUGCGAAAGCGUGGGGAGCAAACAGGG